GUGAUAAUUUUUAUAUCAUGUCACUUGUAUUUGACUGUUAAAUACAUUUAAAUACUUUCUAUAUAGUCCAAUUGAUACUGAUUAAUUGAAAUGCCUAAAUUCUUCAUAGAAUGGUGAUGUACCCAGUGCAAUCCCUGAAAAGUAGGACUUAAUCAUAGAAACCAAAAAAGCCUAUUCCUCAUAAUAUCAGUUCAUCUUGCAUUAUCAUUGUGCAACUGUCUCUGGGCUAAAUUGACCUUCAAAAUCUCAUAGUGGUGCUAUGAUGAAAUCUAAGGGUCCCCCAAUACCCAUACUGUGAAUUUCAAAACUACUCCACCCUAUUCAGACCAUUCUUUAGAAGAUGGGAUUUAGCUAUUUCCUGAUCAAUAACAAUUGAGAUACUUGUAAUAACAGAAUCAGGUCUUGGAAACUACAAUCUCCACCCUACUCAAUGUAACAAGAUCAGCAAGGGCUACAGCAAAACUCAAGAUUUAAUUAUUUGAGAAUAUGGCCUUCAACAGACAUGUGCAAAAAGGACAGACCUCUGGGCAGUCCUGGGUGAAGCUAGAGCCACCAUUGGCACAUGUCAGACCCAGGAAGUGAGGUAGAGGUCAGCUCAGGAGUUCUGGGGACUUCCUGUGUGGAAGGAAAAAGGUUGUUGGAGCCUGGUGCUUGAGGUGGAGGAGCCCACAGACUGUUUCUCCAUCUUGGUCACUUGACAUAAUGGAGGUUCCACUGAGAUCUGAAGUCCCGGCUGCCUGAGCCCUCCUGCUAACCAGGACCCCGAGACUUGAGGUACCUCACACAAUCCGUUUGAGAUUGGGUCAGGAGUCCAGUUAGCAAGGGCCAGGGGAAGUGGCUCUUGGAGGAUCAGAGGGAACUGGCUUAUAGAAGGGAAGGAGAAAGUGAAGAGGAAGAAAUUAAAGGAAAAAUCAGGAGGUAAUAACCAUAGAACAAAUUUGAAAGAGACCGGAGAGGAGGAUCACAAGAUCCUAAGUUAAAAGGAGAAAGGGAAACUAUUUCAGGAAAGACAUAACUGGGUGAAGAGAGAGGUUUGAAGUGGAGAAUAGAGAAUUGAAAAAAAAGUUUUUAACAGAUGACAUCUAUCUUCAUUAAAGCUUGACAAUUCCUUGAGAGUUGAA
This 1121-nucleotide long non-coding RNA is filed under the name Monodelphis domestica (gray short-tailed opossum). Its description in RNAcentral is "lncRNA (ENSMODG00000038842.1)". Lineage: Eukaryota; Metazoa; Chordata; Mammalia; Didelphimorphia; Didelphidae. The record is from RNAcentral.